AACGAACGCUGGCGGCAUGCCUAACACAUGCAAGUCGAACGAGACCUUCGGGUCUAGUGGCGCACGGGUGCGUAACGCGUGGGAACCUGCCCUUAGGUUCGGAAUAACUCCCCGAAAGGGGUGCUAAUACCGGAUAAUGUCUUCGGACCAAAGAUUUAUCGCCUUUGGAUGGGCCCGCGUUGGAUUAGCUAGUUGGUAGGGUAAAAGCCUACCAAGGCGACCAUCCAUAGCUGGUCUGAGAGGAUGAUCAGCCACACUGGGACUGAGACACGGCCCAGACUCCGAGGGGGGGAAGAGGGGGGGAAUAUUGAACAAGGGGCGAAGGCUUGCCCCAGCAAUGCCGGGGGGGGGAUGAAGGCUUAGGGGUGGAAAAGCUUUUUUCCCGGGGAGAAUAAGGAGAGUACGGGGAAAAUAAGCCCCGACAAACCCGGGC
RNAcentral lists this ribosomal RNA (433 nucleotides) under uncultured bacterium. RNAcentral's name for it is "partial 16S ribosomal RNA". It matches the Rfam family "Bacterial small subunit ribosomal RNA", at positions 29 to 508 of the family's 1533-position model. The record is from RNAcentral.